GGGGUUGUGGCUCAGUGGCAGAGCAUUUGCCUUGCAUACAUAAAACACUGGGUUCAAUCCUCAGCACCA
This 69-nucleotide transfer RNA is filed under the name Ictidomys tridecemlineatus (thirteen-lined ground squirrel). RNAcentral's name for it is "Spermophilus tridecemlineatus (thirteen-lined ground squirrel) tRNA". It matches the Rfam family "tRNA". Rfam says of the family: Transfer RNA (tRNA) molecules are approximately 80 nucleotides in length. The record is from Rfam by way of RNAcentral. Lineage: Eukaryota; Metazoa; Chordata; Mammalia; Rodentia; Sciuridae.